RNAcentral lists this small RNA (684 nucleotides) under Paraphaeosphaeria sporulosa. Its description in RNAcentral is "eukaryotic LSU rRNA". The stretch from base 87 to 684 matches the Rfam family "Eukaryotic large subunit ribosomal RNA", at positions 1 to 600 of the family's 3401-position model. The record is from RNAcentral. Lineage: Eukaryota; Fungi; Ascomycota; Dothideomycetes; Pleosporales; Didymosphaeriaceae.
GGCAGCGGUCCUUGCCUCCUCUCGCGCAGCACAAUUGCGUCUGCGGGGGGGCGUGGCCCGCGUCCACGAAGCAACAUUACCGUCUUUGACCUCGGAUCAGGUAGGGAUACCCGCUGAACUUAAGCAUAUCAAUAAGCGGAGGAAAAGAAACCAACAGGGAUUGCCCUAGUAACGGCGAGUGAAGCGGCAACAGCUCAAAUUUGAAAUCUGGCUCUCUUUGGGGGUCCGAGUUGUAAUUUGCAGAGGAUGCUUUGGCAUUGGCGGCGGUCUAAGUUCCUUGGAACAGGACAUCACAGAGGGUGAGAAUCCCGUACGUGGUCGCCUGCCUUUGCCGUGUAAAGCUCCUUCGACGAGUCGAGUUGUUUGGGAAUGCAGCUCUAAAUGGGAGGUAAAUUUCUUCUAAAGCUAAAUACUGGCCAGAGACCGAUAGCGCACAAGUAGAGUGAUCGAAAGAUGAAAAGUACUUUGGAAAGAGAGUCAAAAAGCACGUGAAAUUGUUGAAAGGGAAGCGCUUGCAGCCAGACUUGCCCGCAGUUGCUCACCUAGGCUUUGGCCUGGGGCACUCUUCUGCGGGCAGGCCAGCAUCAGUUUGGGCGGUUGGAUAAAGGCCUCUGUCACGUAUCUCCCUUCGGGGUGACCUUAUAGGGGAGGCGCAAUGCAACCAGCCCGGACUGAGGUCCGCGC